This 563-nucleotide ribosomal RNA is filed under the name uncultured bacterium. RNAcentral's name for it is "bacterial SSU rRNA". It matches the Rfam family "Bacterial small subunit ribosomal RNA", at positions 338 to 916 of the family's 1533-position model. The record is from RNAcentral.
CCUACGGGAGGCAGCAGUGGGGAAUCUUGCGCAAUGGGCGAAAGCCUGACGCAGCAACGCCGCGUGCGGGAUGAAGGCCUUCGGGUUGUAAACCGCUUUCAGCAGGGAAGAAAUUGACGGUACCUGCAGAAGAAGCCCCGGCCAACUACGUGCCAGCAGCCACGGUAACACGUAGGGGGCGAGCGUUGUCCGGAUUUAUUGGGCGUAAAGAGCUCGUAGGCGGUUCGGUAAGUCGGGUGUGAAACCUCCAGGCUCAACCUGGAGACGCCACCUGAUACUGCUGUGACUAGAGUCCGGUAGGGGAGUGUGGAACUCCUGGUGUAGCGGUGAAAUGCGCAGAUAUCAGGAAGAACACCAGCGGCGAAGGCGGCACUCUGGGCCGGUACUGACGCUGAGGAGCGAAAGCGUGGGUAGCAAACAGGAUUAGAUACCCUGGUAGUCCACGCCGUAAACGUUGGGCACUAGGUGUGGGUCUCAACCAACGAGAUCCGUGCCGCAGCUAACGCAUUAAGUGCCCCGCCUGGGGAGUACGGCCGCAAGGCAAAACUUAAAUGAAUUGACGG